UGCAGUGCAAACAAGGGAUUUUGCAGCUCCUGCAUGUGUCCAGUUUGUAUGAAUUUUGACUGUGCUAAUAACACUUGCAGUUGGGUUGGGUGUGAUGUUUGUUCCCAUUGGUGUCAUGCUGCUUGUGGUAUUAAAAAAAAUCUCAUUAGUCCAGGUCCUAGCUUGAAGGGGCCAAAAGGGACUACAGAGAUGCAAUUUCACUGCAUUGGCUGUAAUCAUGCUUCAGAAAUGUUUGGCUUUGUCAAGCUAGGGUUUGUGUGCUGUGCAAAGGAUUGGGGUCUAGAAACCCUAACAAAAGAACUCGACUGUGUGAGGAAGAUUUUCAAGGGAAGUUAUGAUUUUAAAGGCAAGGAAUUGCAUAUUAAGGCUGAGGCGUUGCUCUCCAAGCUUGAGAGUAAAAUUCUCUCUCCUUCGGAUGCCUGUAACAUCAUCAUUCAGUUCUUCAACUAUGCAGAUGGUAUUUCCGAUUUUCCUGCUUCUGGUGUAUCUGCUAAAGAAUUGAUGCCAACUGAAGUUAGUCUUAGAAAAGAUGAUGCACCUAUACUGCCAUCCACUUCUCUCCCUCAAAAAUAUGCCCUCUACAAUAUGAGCUCUUCAAGUGGCCGGCGUGAUUCACGAUCAAACGAUAUCCACCAAAAUGAACUCAGAGCUGCACUCCUUGGUGACUUAAAAAUCAAUGAUGAGUUCCAGUUUGGAAAGCUAUCAAAGAAGGAUGGUCUCGGUAGCUUAGAAAGCAUUGUACGGAUUAAAGAAGCAGAAGCCAGAAUGUUCCAGAGCAAGGCAGAUGAAGCACGAAGAGACGCAGAAAGCUACCUGCAGAUGAUUCGGGCGAGGUCUGAGAAGUU
This 845-nucleotide unclassified non-coding RNA is filed under the name Hevea brasiliensis (rubber tree). The record is from RNAcentral. Lineage: Eukaryota; Viridiplantae; Streptophyta; Magnoliopsida; Malpighiales; Euphorbiaceae.